AAUAUUUAAUUUAAUUAAGAAUUUAUUCUGAGUUGAAUAUCUGACAGUUAAUGAUGUAAAGUUUGUAAUUAAUGGUAAAUGUGGAAUGGCGAAUUGAUAUUGGAUAAUGUAGAUCCUGUGCGGCACAUGUGACGUAAGUGAUAUGAGAAUGUUUGAUUAGAUCAGAUAGACAUGUGUGUAGCUGGGAAGCAUACAGCUUUUUUACCAUCAUCCGUCAACAUCAUCCGUCAACGAAGUUUUGCAAUUAUUAUUUUAGUGUGAUAUUGUGUUUAUUUACUACUACUGCAAGUAGAGAUUCUGUUCUUUGGUGAAGAGCAAGGAAAUAAAAGACAUCAAUGGUCAGUCAUCUGGGUCUUGUGAGUAGAAACUGUGGAUAAAGAACGAUAGAAAUUGCAAGCUAGCUACGGAUAUGAGUCAGAAAAACCUUUCAUCCUGCACACAUGAAUAAGUGGUUAAAAUUAACAACGAAAAUAUAAGACUGAAAUUUUGCCACUACAAUAAAGUAAAAAAGCUCGCUAGAGUCGAAAGCUGACUAAAGUGAAGAAGUUUGGUAAGUCAAAUGACUGCAAAGAGCUAGGAAAAGUUCGCCCAUUGAAGCUAUUGGAAGCUAGCAAAGAAGCUAAGUGGAUGACUCAGCAAGCAUUGGAGUUAGCUUAGCAUCGCAUUGAUGUCGUUAAGAAGAGCUAAGUGAAAGUGCUUAUCAAAACGGGAUUUUAUGCUGAUUCUACUUGGACGUGACUGAGCUGGGUUUUGGAUGGAAUUGUAAGGAUUUGUGUUGUGUUAUAACCGAAGACAGCUGUGCCCAACUGAAACAAGGCUUUGUGAGUGAAGUAGCUGCAACAUUGUGGAAUAUCAACAAACAAUGACGAGCGAAAAGGACGACGUGCCUGUCAACACUCGUGAGAGGACGCUGACGGCUAAAGGAGCAGAGAAUAGACUGCAUAUUCUCACAAACGCCAGAAGAGGUAAAUUAUCACAAUUGACUGCAAAAUCAAACGAAAUUGAUCUACUUUUGAACAGUGAAGAAUUGCCUGCUGUACAUGACAUUCAAAAGGAAUUUAAAGUGUACAAGAAACAAUAUGAAGAGUUUAAUGAGUGCAAUUGUGCAGUAGCAUCAUGUCUCAAUGCUGAAGAAAAGGAGG
This is a long non-coding RNA of Clupea harengus (Atlantic herring), 1142 nucleotides long. Lineage: Eukaryota; Metazoa; Chordata; Actinopteri; Clupeiformes; Clupeidae. The record is from Ensembl.